This 101-nucleotide non-coding RNA is filed under the name Pseudooctadecabacter jejudonensis. Its description in RNAcentral is "Glycine sequence". It matches the Rfam family "Glycine riboswitch aptamer". Rfam says of the family: This family represents the bacterial glycine riboswitch. Glycine riboswitches usually consist of two metabolite-binding aptamers domains with similar structures in tandem. Lineage: Bacteria; Pseudomonadati; Pseudomonadota; Alphaproteobacteria; Rhodobacterales; Paracoccaceae. The record is from Rfam by way of RNAcentral.
UCCUCCCCCGCGGGAGAGACGCAGCCUGCCCCUGUUGCAGCGGUGCGCGCCGAAGGAGCAACGACCCGGAAACUCUCAGGCAAAAGGACCGCGGACCGGAG